UACGUAGGGGGCUAGCGUUGUCCGGAAUUACUGGGCGUAAAGCGUGCGCAGGCGGUCUUUUAAGUCAGAUGUGAAAUCCCCGGGCUUAACCUGGGAACUGCGUUUGAAACUGGAAGGCUUGAGUGUGGCAGAGGGGGGUGGAAUUCCACGUGUAGCAGUGAAAUGCGUAGAGAUGUGGAGGAACACCGAUGGCGAAGGCAGCCCCCCUGGGCUAACACUGACGCUCAUGCACGAAAGCGUGGGGAGCAAACAGG
This 254-nucleotide ribosomal RNA is filed under the name uncultured bacterium. RNAcentral's name for it is "partial 16S ribosomal RNA". It matches the Rfam family "Bacterial small subunit ribosomal RNA", at positions 524 to 776 of the family's 1533-position model. The record is from RNAcentral.